AGCAGCCGCGGUAAUUCCAGCUCCAAUAGCGUAUAUUAAAGUUGUUGCAGUUAAAAAGCUCGUAGUUGAAUUUCGGGAUCAGUACGCUGGUCAUGCCUUAGGUAUGCACUGGUGUCACUGGUUCCUCCCUUCUGGCGAACCGACAUGCCAUUCACUUGGUGUGGCGGGAAAUCAGGACUGUUACUUUGAAAAAUUAGAGUGUUUAAAGCAGGCUCACGCUUGAAUACAUUAGCAUGGAAUAAUGAAAUAGGACGUUGAUCUUAUUUUGUUGGUUUCUAGGAUUGACGUAAUGAUUAAUAGGGAUAGUUGGGGGCAUUAGUAUUCAAUUGUCAGAGGUGAAAUUCUUGGAUUUAUUGAAGACUAACUACUGC
Molecule: ribosomal RNA, 371 nt
Filed under: uncultured Glomeromycotina
Lineage: Eukaryota; Fungi; Glomeromycota
Description: SSU rRNA
Rfam family: Eukaryotic small subunit ribosomal RNA
Source: RNAcentral